GUACGGGAGGCAGCAGUGAGGAAUAUUGGUCAAUGGGCGCAAGCCUGAACCAGCCAUCCCGCGUGCAGGAAGAAGGCGCUAUGCGUUGUAAACUGCUUUUGCAGGGGAAGAAUGUUGGCUACGUGUAGUCAAUUGCCGGUACCUUGUGAAUAAGCAUCGGCUAACUCCGUGCCAGCAGCCGCGGUAAUACGGAGGAUGCGAGCGUUAUCCGGAUUUAUUGGGUUUAAAGGGUGCGUAGGCGGAUUGAUAAGUCAGUGGUGAAAUACUGCAGCUUAACUGUAGAAUUGCCGUUGAUACUGUCAGUCUUGAGUAUGGUUAAGGUAGGCGGAAUGUGUAAUGUAGCGGUGAAAUGCUUAGAUAUUACACAGAACACCGAUUGCGAAGGCAGCUUACUGAGCCAAAACUGACGCUGAGGCACGAAAGCGUGGGGAGCGAACAGGAUUAGAUACCCGUGUAA
RNAcentral lists this ribosomal RNA (457 nucleotides) under uncultured bacterium. Its description in RNAcentral is "bacterial SSU rRNA". It matches the Rfam family "Bacterial small subunit ribosomal RNA", at positions 339 to 793 of the family's 1533-position model. The record is from RNAcentral.